RNAcentral lists this ribosomal RNA (386 nucleotides) under uncultured bacterium. Its description in RNAcentral is "bacterial SSU rRNA". It matches the Rfam family "Bacterial small subunit ribosomal RNA", at positions 29 to 408 of the family's 1533-position model. The record is from RNAcentral.
AAUGAACGCUGGCGGCGUGGAUUAGGCAUGCAAGUCGAACGCGAAAGUUCCCUUCGGGGAGCGAGUAGAGUGGCGAAAGGGUGAGUAAUGCUUGGAUGACCUGCCCUCGAGACGGGGACAACAGUUCGAAAGGACUGCUAAUACCCGAUAGUCCGGUUUAGUAUGCGUCUAGAUCGGUAAAUGGUGCUUCCGCUCGAGGAGGGGUUCGAAGUCCUAUCAGCUUGUUGGUGAGGUAACGGCUCACCAAGGCGAUGACGGGUAGCCGGACUGAGAGGUUGGCCGGCCACAUGGGAACUGAGACACUGUCCUGACUCCUACGGGAGGCUGCAGUCGAGAAUCUUCUGCAAUAGGCGGAAAGACCUGACAGAGCGACGCCGCGUGGAGGA